RNAcentral lists this ribosomal RNA (292 nucleotides) under uncultured bacterium. RNAcentral's name for it is "partial 16S ribosomal RNA". It matches the Rfam family "Bacterial small subunit ribosomal RNA", at positions 505 to 796 of the family's 1533-position model. The record is from RNAcentral.
GUGUCAGCCGCCGCGGUAAAACGUAGGAGGCAAGCGUUAUCCGGAUUUACUGGGCGUAAAGGGCGUGCAGGUGGCGUGUUAAGUGGUGCGUGAAAGCGCUCGGCUCAACCGGGCGAGGGCGUGCCAAACUGGGACGCUAGAAACAGACAGAGGCAAGUGGAAUUCGGGGUGUAGUGGUGAAAUGCGUAGAGAUCCCGAGGAACUCCAGUGGCGAAGGCGACUUGCUGGGUCUGGUUUGACACUCAGACGCGAAAGCAUGGGGAGCGAACGGGAUUAGAAACCCGAGUAGUCC